Molecule: unclassified non-coding RNA, 153 nt
Filed under: uncultured Sigarispora
Lineage: Eukaryota; Fungi; Ascomycota; Dothideomycetes; Pleosporales; Lophiostomataceae
Description: sequence contains ITS2
Source: RNAcentral
ACAAAUUCAAGCUCAGCUUGGUGAUGGGUGUCUGUCCCGCCUUUGCGCGCGGACUCGCCUCAAAUGCAGUUGGCAGCUUGUUCCUCGGCUCUAAACGCAGCAGAAUGCGUCGAGCGUCGAGCGGACGGGCUCUCCAGUAAGCAAACCCCCACA